This 253-nucleotide ribosomal RNA is filed under the name uncultured bacterium. Its description in RNAcentral is "partial 16S ribosomal RNA". It matches the Rfam family "Bacterial small subunit ribosomal RNA", at positions 524 to 776 of the family's 1533-position model. The record is from RNAcentral.
UACGUAGGGCGCGAGCGUUGUCCGGAUUUAUUGGGCGUAAAGAGCGUGUAGGCGGCUAUACAGGUCCGUUGUGAAAACUCGAGGCUCAACCUCGAGACGCCGAUGGAAACCGUAUGGCUAGAGUCCGGAAGAGGAGAGCGGAGUUCCUGGUGUAGCGGUGAAAUGCGCAGAUAUCAGGAAGAACACCCGUGGCGAAGGCGGCUCUCUGGGACGGUACUGACGCUGAGACGCGAAAGCGUGGGGAGCGAACAGG